Molecule: long non-coding RNA, 6768 nt
Organism: Arachis duranensis
Lineage: Eukaryota; Viridiplantae; Streptophyta; Magnoliopsida; Fabales; Fabaceae
Exons: 2
Source: RefSeq, a predicted model, not a curated record
GGUUAUUUAGAAUUAUGAAUGCGUUGGUGUAACGGUGUCGGUUUCCACUCUAUCUUUAAGCUAAUUCUACCCUUUCUCUUUUUUGUGAAUAUUUGCUUUAAUCUUCUUCGUCUUCGUUAUUCUCUAUGGUUUCCGAUUUCAAGAUUUCAUCCAUGAUCUAGAAGAUUCGAUAUGUUUUUGCUGUGAAUUACCAUCUGAUUCCUUUUAUACAACUGUAUUCGGAUUUGUGGAUUGUUGAUUUGCCUCAGGGAGAAAAACUACGUGAUGAACAUAUGAACGGAGUGUUAUUCUUGUUUGCUGGAUUAAAAUUAUGAUUUUCUCUACGUAAGUAUGUGGCGAUUUUUUUUUCUGGAUGAUCGCUGAAUUGAAGAUCUUUUCCGAUCUGGAAGUUUGGUUGAGCUCUUCUAAUUUGUUGAUCUGUUCUGUUACGGUACUGUGUUGUUGAACAUGACCUCUUUGUUUUCACGGAACUGUUUUCCUGAUUGUUCAGGCGAGAUCUCGAUUGUGAACGUUUGCUUUUUGUCGGUGAUUGGAGGAUGAUUCUGCUGCUUCCUAGAUCCGAAGAAACUGACAACUCUCUUUACCCUAGCUUUUUCUGGAACUUCUCCUAUUCUUCAACUAUUGAUCUUAUGUAUAGAGAUCUAGCUACGGUUCUUCUUGUCGAACAUGGCUUUUCUUUUACGGGACUGUUUUCCUGAUUAUUCGGGCGAGAUCUAGAUUGUGAACGCUUGCUUUCUGUUUGUGAUUGGAGGAUGAAUUCUGCUUUUGCCUAGAUCUGAAGAAACCGGGAACACUACCCCUAAAACUUCUAUUCUUCGACUGUUCUUAUCAUUAUUAUUGUAGAGGGAUUUAGCUUCGGUUUUGCUUUGUUUGCAGUGUAUUUGGGAGGUUGGAGAUUUGUAAAUCCGGAGAUAUUGGAAAGAAUUUUCUGCAAUUUUCGACAUGGACGACUAGAUAUCUAAUUCCUUAAAACAGAACAGAUCCUCUACUUUUACCCUUUUUAAAUUCAAUUAUAAAUCAUGCAUAUGAAUUAAAAUGUGAAUCUAUAUUCUAUGCAGCGUUGUCCAUCUUGAAGCGUGGUUGUUUUGAGUGCGACACAUACAGAGGAUAGAGACCAAGAACAGUUUUUCUAAACUUUCUUUCCUUGCAGUUUUUUUCCCCAACCUACUGUGCUAGCAUUGUGAAUUAAAAUGUGGAUGUGUUUCCUAUGCAGUGUUGUCUGAUCCUGGUCGAUAUGUUUCCUGCACUUGCCUGGUUCAUUUGUUUAAGUUUUGUUCUUUUUUUUUAAAAUUUAAAUAAUUGGCUUUAGUUCUUUGUUGUUUCCUUUAUAAUCCUGGCUUUCUUGGAAAUCGGCUUAUGUUUCUCUUUUCUGCCUUAGGAGCCAAUUGAAGGAUAUGGGAUUGCACUUAGGCGAUGUGGCCAAGAUUCUGAAAUUGAUAAUUCCCUCCUAACAUAUGCAUCAAUUUUUUUUAGUAUUAAAUACGGAGUUAUCUUGUUUAUGUCCUGCAAUGCUUUAAAUUGGUUGCAGAAAUCUGGAAUAAUGGAUAGAAGAUAUAUGGCAGGAAGGCUCAAAAUAAUACAGGCUCAUAAUCUGAUUAACUUUUCUUUUUUAACUGUCUUGCGUUAAUGGUCAUGCAAAAUUAAAUUUGAACUUGUUCUCUUGCAGUGCUAUCGUUUUGGUCAAGUAACAUUGUACCUGGAGUUUGGACGCACUGGAUCUCUUGUCUUUUGGUUUUUUUUAUGUUUUUGCUAGUUCAUAUGCAUAAGUAUGCAGAUAUCAAUUGAAUUUCGUCUGUUCAUUUGCAGUGUUGUCUUCCAAUCAUACUUUUGGCAACAGGCAUUCAUGUAUUAUGGUGAAUUCUAACUGGCUUUAGUGUUCUCUGUGUCUAGUGUAUUGUUCCUGUGCAUUUCAUUUCUUUGAUGUUCUUCAUAUUGCUUGGGGAGGAGUGUUCUUUAUAUGUUUUUCCUGUGAAUUUCUAUCUAGUCUCUAUAACUGUUCAUGGAUUUGUGGAUUUUGGAUUUACUUAGCUGCUGAUCGCUUUUUUCUGGAUUCGAUAAUCUUGGGAAUGGUUACAGUUUCACAGGGAAAAGAACCAGGCGAUGAACAUAUGGACAGGGUGCUAUUCUUGUUUGCUGGAUUGGAAUUGUGAUUUUCUCUCUUCAGCUGUAGCGAAUUAUGUGGAUGAUGUGUUGGCUUCGUUUAAGAUCUUUCCUGACCUGGAACUUUGGUUGAGCUUUUCUAAUUUGAUGAACUGGUUCGGGGAUAGUUGUGUUGUUUGAACAUGGCUUUUCUUUCAUGCAGCUGUUCUGUUUAUUGUUAAGGCGACAUUAUCUGGAUUAUGAAUGCUUGCUUUUUUGUUGGGUGUUUGGAGGAUGAAUUCUACUUUUGCCCAGAUCUGAAGAAACUGAACUCUCUGAAUCCUGUUUUUUCUGAAAAUUCUCCGAUUCUGUAUUGUUCUUAUUCCUUGAGAGAUUUAGAUUUGCUUGUUUUUGCUUGGUUUGCAGUGUAUUCGGGAGAUUGGGAAUUGUAGAUUGGAGAUAUUGGAAAGAAUAUUUUGCAAGACCCGAGGACCAUACAUCUAAUUCCAUAAAAGCAAUCUGAUUCUCUAUACAUUUUAUUUCCUUGAUCAUUUAACUAAAUAUUAAAGCAUGCAUUGUGAAUUAAAAUGUAGUUUAUAUUCUAUGCAGCAUGGUCGAACAUGGCUUUUCUUUUGCGGGACUGUUUUCCUGAUUAUUCAGGCGAUCUAGAUUGUGAACGGUUGCUUUUGCAGAGAUCCGAAGAAAUCGAGAACAUAUUCUUGCUUUUUUCCCCCCUAAAACUUCUAUUCUUCAACUGUUCUUAUCGUUAUUAUUGUUGGGGGAUUUAGCUUCGGUUUUGCUUGGUUUGCAGUGUAUUUGGGAGGUUGGAGAUUUGUAGAUUGGAGAUAUUGGAAAGAAUUUUCUGCAAUUUUCGAUAUCACGAUAUGGAUGACUAGAUAUCUAAUUCCGUAAAACAGAACAGAUCCUCUACUUUUACCCCUUUUAGAUUCAAUCAUAAAUAAAUUAUAAAUCAUGCAUGUGAAUUAAAAUGUGAAUCUAUAUUCUAUGCAGCGUUGUCCAUCUUGAAGUGUGGUUGUUGAGUGUGACACAUAUGGAGGAUAGAGAUCAAGAAUAGUUUUCCUAAAGUUUUUCCCUGCAUUUUUUUCCAAACGUACUGUGGCAGCACUGUGAAUUAAAUGUGGAUAUGCUUCCUAUGCAGUGUUGUCUGAUCUUGUUACCGCGGGUGUUGAGUACAUCCUGGUUGAUAUGUUUCUUGCACUUGCGUGGUUCAUUUGUUUAGGUUUUGCUCUUUUUUUUUUAAUUUAUAUUAUUGGCUGCUUUGGUUCUUUGUUGUUUCCUUUAUAAUUCUGUCUCUUGGAAAUCGGUUUAUGUUUCUCUUUUUUGCCUUAGGAGCCAAUUGAAGGAUAUGGGAUUGCACUUAGGCGAUGUGUCCAAGAUUCCGAAAUUGAUAAUUCCCUCCUAACAUAUGCACUACUUUUUUUUAGUAUUAAAUAAUAGUUUGAUUACGGAGUUAUCUUUUUAAUGUCCUGCAAUGCUUUAAAUUGGUUGCAGAAAUCUGGAAUAUUGGAUAGAAGAUAUAUGGCAGGAAGGCUCAAAAUAAUACAGGCUCAUAAUCUGAUUAACUUUUCGUUUUUAACUAUCUUGCGUUAAUGGUCGUGCAAAAUUAAAUUUGAACUUGUUUUCUUGCAGUGUUAUUGUUUUGGUCAAGUAAUAUUGUGUAGCUGGUGACCUUGUACCUGGAGUUUGGAUGCACUGGAUCUGUUGUCUCUUGGUUUUUUGUUUUUUUUUUUGCUAGUUCAUAUGCAUUAGUAUGCAGAUAUCAAUUGAAUUUCGUCUGUUCAUUUUCAGUGUUGUCUUCCAAUCAUACUUUUGGCAACGGCAUUCAUGUAUAAUGGUGACUUCUAACUGGCUUUAGUGUUCUCUGUGUCCUAACAUCUUGUUCCUGUGCAUUUAAUUUCUUUGGUGUUCUUCAUAUUGCUUGGGGAGGAGUGUUCUUUGAUCUGUUUUUCCUGUGAAUUUCUAUCUAGUUUACAGAACUGUUCUUGGAUUUGUGGAUUUUGGAUUUACUUAGCUGCUGAUCAAGAUGCUUCUUUCUGGAUUCGAUAAUUUUGGGAAUGGUUAUAGUUUCAACACAGUUUCACAGGGAAUAGAACCAGGCGAUGAACAUAUGGACAGGGUGCUAUUCUUGUUUGUUGGAUUGGAAUUGUGAUUUUCUCUCUUCGGGUGUAGCGAAUUAUGUGGAUGAUGUGUUGGCUUCAUUUAUGAUCUUUACUGACCUGGAAGUUUGGUUGAGCUUUUCUAAUUUGAUGAUCUGGUUCAGGGAUAGGUUUGAACAUGGCUUUUCUUUCAUGCAGCUGUUCUGUUGACUGUUAAGGCGACAUUAUCUGGAUUAUGAAUGCUUGCUUUUUUGUUGGUGUUUGGAGGAUGAAUUCUACUUUUCCCCAGAUCCGAAGAAACUGAGAACUCUCUGAAUCCUUGUUUUCUCUGAAAAUUCUCUUAUUCUGUACUGUUCUUAUUCCCGGAGAGAUUUAGAUUUGCUUGUUUUUGCUUGGUUUGCAGUGUAUUUGGGAGAUUGGGAAAUGGGAAUUGUAGAUUGGAGAUACUGGAAAGAAUAUUUUGCAAGACCCGAGGACCAUAUAUCUAAUUCCAUAAAAGCAAUCUGAUUCUCUAUACAUUUUAUUUCCCUGAUCAUUUAACUAAAUAGAGCAUGCAUUGUGAAUUAAAAUGUAGUUUAUAUUCUAUGCAGCAUUGUAGCCUGGUUGUUGAGCACGAAGCAUACCGUGGAUGGAAUCUAGUUUCCUAAAACAGUUUUUCGAACUCUUCUUUCCUUUUUGUUCAUUUCAACCUACUGUGCUUAGCAGCAUUUGAAUUAAAUGUUGUUUGUUUCCCGUGCAGUGUGGUCCGAUCAUUGGUGUUGAGUGCAUACUGUGUUGUCUUCCAAUUGAUACCUUCGACUACUAUACUCAUAUGCACAGGGGGCUAUUCUUGUUUGCUGGAUUGGAAUUGUGAUUUUCUCUCUUCGGGUGUAGCGAAUUAUGUGGAUGAUGUGUUGGUUUCAUUUAAGAUCUUUCCUGACCUGGAAGUUCGGUUGAGCUUUUCUAUUUUGAUGAUCUGGUUCAGGGAUAGUUGUGUUGUUUGAACAUGGCUUUUCUUUCAUGCAGCUGUUCUGUUGAUUGUUAAGGCGACAUUAUCUGGAUUAUGAAUGCUCGCUUUUUUGUUGGUGUUUGGAGGAUGAAUUCUACUUUUGCCCAGAUCUGAAGAAACUGAGAACUCUCUGAAUCCUUGCCUUUUUCUGAAAAUUCUAUGCAGCUGUUCUGUUGAUUGUUAAGGCAAUAUUAUCUGGAUUAUGAAUGCUCGCUUUUUGUUGGUGUUUGGAGGAUGAAUUCUACUUUUGCCCAGAUCUGAAGAGACUGAGAACUUACUGAAUCCUUGCUUUUUCUAAAAAUUCUCCUAUUCUGUACUAUUCUUAUUCUCGGAGAGAUUUAGGUUUGCUUGUUUUUGCUUGGUUUGCAGUGUAUUUGGAAGAUUGGGGAUAUUGGAAAGAAUAUUUUGCAAGACCUGAGGACCAUAUAUCUAAUUCCAUAAAAGCAAUCUGAUUCUCUAUACAUUUUAUUUCCUUGAUCAUUUAACUAAAUACUUUAAACCAUGCAUUGUGAAUUAAAAUGUAGUUUAUUUUCUAUGCAGCAUUGUAGCCUGGUUGUUGAGCACGAUGCAUACAGUGGAUGGAAUCUAGUUUCCUAAAACAGUUUUUCGAAACUCCUCUCUCCUUUUUGUUCAUUCCAAGCUACUGUGCUAGCAGCAUUUGAAUUAAAUGUCGUUGGUUUCCCGUGCAGUGUUGUCCGAUCAUGGGUAUUGAGUGCAUCCUGGUGAUAUGCUUUUGCACUUGGCUGGUUCAUUUGUUUAAUUUUUGCUUUUUUAAUACUUUGUGUUGUUUCCUUCGUUAGUCUCUCGUGCUUGGAAAUCGGUUUUUGUUUCUCUUUUCCUUGGGAACCAAUUGAAGGGUAUCUGUUCAAGAUUCCGAGAUUGAUAUUUCCUUGUUAUAUUAUUCUUUUUUCUUUCUAUCCCCUAAAUAUUAUAAAAAUAAUGUGAUUAUGUAGUCGUUUCACUUUUGUGACCUCCAAUGCUUUACAGUGGUUGCAGCGAUUUAGAAUUUUGGAAAAGAAGAUAUGAUUUGGAAAAAAAGCUCUGCAAAAAUAAUACAGGCUCCUGAUCUAGAUUAAACUUGUCUUUUCUACUGAAUUUUUCUUACAUAUUUAUUUUUUAGCAUUAAUGGUUCGUGCAAAGUUCAAUUUGAACCUGUUUUCUUGCAGUGCUACGAUCGUUAACAUUGUUAACAUUGUCCUUUGUAAUCGAGUUAGAUGCGGAGUUGGUGACUUCUACCUGGAGUUUGAAUGCCCUGGAUCUUUUCUCGUCUCUCUUAUUUUCUUUCCAUGUAGUAUGAACAUGUCGAUUCCUGUUCCUUUGCAGUGUUGUCUUCCAACGAUACUUUUGACUACCAUACUAAUUCAUAUGGUGACUUCUACCUCGGUAUAGCAGUUUGUGAUUUGUUCUUCGUGAUUUUGACCGAGUUUUGAGAAUGAUGAUAGGCCCAACCUGUUGUUCCCUCAUCCUAGUUGUUGACACACUUUCGAGAUAGGACAGUAAGCGUUUAUUGAGCACUUAUUGGUCGUUGUUGACCACAUAUGCUGACUGUAUCAUAUAUAAUCAAUUUUGCUUUUUAUCGCUUUU